RNAcentral lists this ribosomal RNA (495 nucleotides) under uncultured bacterium. RNAcentral's name for it is "partial 16S ribosomal RNA". It matches the Rfam family "Bacterial small subunit ribosomal RNA", at positions 28 to 523 of the family's 1533-position model. The record is from RNAcentral.
GAUGAACGCUAGCGGGAGGCCUAACACAUGCAAGCCGAGCGGUAUUUCUUCUUCGGAAGAGAGAGAGCGGCGCGCGGGUGCGUAACACGUGUGCAACCUACCUUUAUCUGGGGGAUAGCCUUUCGAAAGGAAGAUUAACACCCCAUAAUAUAUUGAAUGGCAUCAUUUGAUAUUGAAAACUCCGGUGGAUAAAGAUGGGCACGCGCAAGAUUAGGUAGUUGGUGAGGUAACGGCUCACCAAGUCAAUGAUCUUUAGGGGUCCUGAGAGGGAGAUCCCCCACACUGGUACUGAGACACGGACCAGACUCCUACGGGAGGCAGCAGUGAGGAAUAUUGGACAAUGGGUGAAAGCCUGAUCCAGCCAUCCCGCGUGAAGGAUGACGGUCCUAUGGAUUGUAAACUUCUUUUGUACAGGAAUAAACCUACUCUCGUGAGAGUAGCUGAAGGUACUGUACGAAUAAGCACCGGCUAACUCCGUGCCAGCCGCCGCGGUAA